CCGGACUGGAAGAGCUAAUUCCUGGAGUAACCAGUAGGAGGCGCCGCAGGGAUUGUUCCAGUACCCCGGCAUACAGCUGAGUCACAGUUCAAAUGGUGGCAGAGCUGGAGGUGAGCAGACCUGCAGCCCACAGUUCCAGCAGAGCACAGCAGAGGGAAGCCUAAGACUCUGACAAAGCUGUCCGAAGGGGCCCUCCAGGAGGGAAGGAAGCACCCACCCCAGAGACAACCUGAGAGGGAAGUAUCCUGUGGAACUUGGAUGUUGGAAGAGACAAAGGAAGCAGCUGUUGGAUUCUGAGGGAGGAGUCCUGACCUAAAGAGUUUGGUCGGUAGGACUGCUGAAGGAGUGUGGUGAGA
Mauremys reevesii (Reeves's turtle) is the source of this 356-nucleotide long non-coding RNA. RefSeq lists it as uncharacterized. The transcript is spliced from 3 exons. Lineage: Eukaryota; Metazoa; Chordata; Testudines; Geoemydidae. The record is from RefSeq and is a predicted model, not a curated record.